This 497-nucleotide ribosomal RNA is filed under the name uncultured bacterium. Its description in RNAcentral is "partial 16S ribosomal RNA". It matches the Rfam family "Bacterial small subunit ribosomal RNA", at positions 28 to 507 of the family's 1533-position model. The record is from RNAcentral.
GAUGAACGCUGGCGGCGUGCCUAAUACAUGCAAGUCGAGCGAACGGACGAGAAGCUUGCUUCUCUGAUGUUAGCGGCGGACGGGUGAGUAACACGUGGAUAACCUACCUAUAAGACUGGGAUAACUUCGGGAAACCGGAGCUAAUACCGGAUAAUAUUUUGAACCGCAUGGUUCAAAAGUGAAAGACGGUCUUGUUGUCACUUAUAGAUGGAUCCGCGCUGCAUUAGCUAGUUGGUAAGGUAACGGCUUACCAAGGCAACGAUGCAUAGCCGACCUGAGAGGGUGAUCGGCCACACUGGAACUGAGACACGGUCCAGACUCCUACGGGAGGCAGCAGUAGGGAAUCUUCCGCAAAGGGCGAAAGCCUGACGGAGCAACGCCGCGUGAGUGAUGAAGGUCUUCGGAUCGUAAAACUCUGUUAUUAGGGAAGAACAUAUGUGUAAGUAACUGUGCACAUCUUGACGGUACCUAAUCAGAAAGCCACGGCUAACUACGUG